AAUCCUCUUUAGGCGCCAAAGUACUCGUUUUCAACCCAGACGUGCUCAAGAACCAACCCGAGGCCAUCCAGCCCUCCAUCUGCCCGCCCGCUCAUUUCACAUCCCCCACUCGGCCGCAGAAACAGAAAAUCAAGAGGCGGUGCUUUCUCCCGCAAGCUUUACAUCCCUCCCGCGAGCCUCCUUUCUAUGUCCCACUUAGACCGGGAAACGGAAGAUCAACUGGCGGCGCGGCUGCAGAGUCGGUUUCCUAUUGGCCAGAACUGCUGGAGCUGCGCCCGCCCGCCCCACCUGGGCGGGGCUUCCGCGCUGACCUGGUGCUGUCUUGGGCCCCCGCGCCUUCUGGCUGGCGGGGCCGUCUUAAAGGGACCGCGGCAGGAUCCGGUCGCUUGGCUGACUGCUCUCUCCAGACCAACCUGGGCCUCUCAGUAUCCCAGGCUCGAGUGCCGAUGGAGACCGGGAAGCCGAACGCUGGAGGCGCGGCAUCAGCCUGUCGCCCUCGCUGCACCUGCCGAAAGUCCCUCCCACUACUUUUGGGCGCAGUUUCUCGAGUCACCAUUAGGGGGAGGGGCGGCCAGAAACACAUUGGCGAAAAAUAACAAUAGCUAACAUUGACUCACGGCGUUGCACAAACCCAAGGCCUUUUUACUCACCUCUCGCGUCGUCCUCGCCAAAACUCUAUAAGGGGAGCCAGGCAGAUGCGUUUCCAAAACAAACGUACCCUAACCCAGACGGCCACGGUCAGGUGUUACAACGCAGGCGUGUUCUACACAGCCGUUUCCCACACAGGUGAGUGACUAAACUUUCCGGGUCACGUGAACGGGAGGAGCUGGAGGAGUCCGGCCGAGCUACCGACCGACGCACCGAGGGUUCGAGCCAGGUACUCGGACCGGGCACCGGAGCAAGGUCGAAGACGCCUGGGCCAGGUGCCGGGUCGCAGGUACCCCCGGCCCGAGAUGCGGUAGAAGCAGCGCGCCGGAGAAGCCCGGUUCCCGGUGCCACCAGCCCGUCGCCCGGCCCAUGGCGAGCCCCGGCCUGGGGCUGCUUCUGGCGCUCGGCCUGCAGCUGCUGCCCGCCCGCUGGGGCCGGGCCUGGGGGCAAACGCCGGACCCCCCCGUAAAUGACAACAGCACCAUCACACCCUCUGAGCCGGGCUCCGGCUCCCAUGGGGCGCUGUCUCAGGAGGCCAUCACCGCCAUCAUUGUGGUCUUCUCCCUCCUGGCCGCCUCGCUCCUGGCCGUGGGGCUGGUGCUGCUGGUUCGAAAACUUCGGGAGAAGCGGCAGACACAGGGUACCUACCGGCCCAGCAGCGAGGAGCAGGUGGGUGCCCGCGUGCCGCCGCCCCCCAACCUCAAGCUGCCGCCCGAGGAGCGGCUCAUCUGAAUGCCGGGGCCUCGUUGCCGCCUCCACCGCUGCCCAGGACUGCCCGGCGCUCGCUCACACACAGCAGCCGCCACCGAGAAAACAGCCUCUGAUGUUCUCCCACGCAGCCGAGGCCCGGGCUCCCCAGGACUCCAAGGAGACAGUGCGGGGCUGCCUGCCCAUCUAGGUCCCUUUUCCAUCUCUCUCUCUCUCUCUCUCUCUCUCUCUCUCUCUCUCUCUCUCUCUCGCUGUGUGACCUUGGGGGAAGGCAGAGCCCUCUGUGGGCAAUCAAACCUACCUAGUGCUUAAGAAUAGAAGGGAGGAAGGUGCUUCAAAGACUCUGCCCCUGAGGGGAAGGGAGGGUGGUGCUGCUUACAUUUUAUAUAUAUAUACAUAUAUACAUAAAUCCCAUAGUGAGAUAUAAUAAAACCUUUUUUUUUUUUUUUAAGCCGGUGGGGCAGGAGUCAGUCUAGAUGGAGAGGACAAACUCAGGGCUCAUAGGCUGUUGAGAGAUGAAUUGUAAGGGUGCAAGAAUCCAGGGGGGCUUCCUGGAAGGGAGGGCCUUCCUGCUGCACCUGGGAGCCAGCUGGAGGAGGAGGAGGAAGGUGGCGGAUGGGGUACGUUUCUGAGCACAGAGAGGGCCCCCAGAUAAACUCACCAGGAAAACCAGCUUUGGGCUCAUGUGGCUUUAUUGAAGGACCAGGGUCUCCUCUGGGACCCUGAUUCUUAACCUUCAAAACACUUUUUAAGCUCAGCGACUCUGGGCCGGCUCCUAGCCUGGGACUCCUGCCAGUCACUGUCAGGUGCAGCAGGGGGUCUGAGGGCUCCUGGCCCCUUGGGGCACUGGAAAUGAGCGUGUUCUGCCAGCAUGACCUCAG
RNA transcript from Leopardus geoffroyi (Geoffroy's cat), 2237 nucleotides. It is a transcript of the gene named crumbs cell polarity complex component 3, with no coding region annotated. The transcript has 7 exons. NCBI's taxonomy places the organism in Eukaryota, Metazoa, Chordata, Mammalia, Carnivora, Felidae. The record is from RefSeq and is a predicted model, not a curated record.